RNAcentral lists this unclassified non-coding RNA (247 nucleotides) under Hevea brasiliensis (rubber tree). The record is from RNAcentral. Lineage: Eukaryota; Viridiplantae; Streptophyta; Magnoliopsida; Malpighiales; Euphorbiaceae.
CCAUAUGUUCUCAAGGUGAAGUUUAAAAAAGAUAUUUACUUUUUGGGAGUUCAAUGGUAAGUGUUAUUAUAUAAUGGUGCAGUGUAUAUUGUGAGAUACUGCACAAAAUUUUGACAUCGUCUGCUGGCUGUGUCCUUUAGGCUUGUUGUAAUUUAUGUUGCCAUUUAGCUACAGUUUUUUACCUUGCUGCAAGUUAAAAAGGCAGCUUUGGAAACACUUUUGUUUAGUGAGAAAAUCUCAGUUAAGG